Molecule: ribosomal RNA, 497 nt
Filed under: uncultured bacterium
Lineage: Bacteria
Description: partial 16S ribosomal RNA
Rfam family: Bacterial small subunit ribosomal RNA
Source: RNAcentral
GAUGAACGCUGGCGGCGUGCCUAAUACAUGCAAGUCGAGCGAACAGACGAGGAGCUUGCUCCUCUGACGUUAGCGGCGGACGGGUGAGUAACACGUGGAUAACCUACCUAUAAGACUGGGAUAACUUCGGGAAACCGGAGCUAAUACCGGAUAAUAUAUUGAACCGCAUGGUUCAAUAGUGAAAGACGGUUUUGCUGUCACUUAUAGAUGGAUCCGCGCCGCAUUAGCUAGUUGGUAAGGUAACGGCUUACCAAGGCAACGAUGCGUAGCCGACCUGAGAGGAUGAUCGGCCACACUGGAACUGAGACACGGUCCAGACUCCUACGGGAGGCAGCAGUAGGGAAUCUUCCGCAAUGGGCGAAAGCUUGACGGAGCAACGCCGCGUGAGUGAUGAAGGUCUUCGGGUCGUAAAACUCUGUUAUUAGGGAAGAACAAAUGUGUAAGUAAAUAUGCACGUCUUGACGGUACCUAAUCAGAAAGCCACGGCUAACUACGUG